GCUGCUACUGCAUCGACAUUUGCGGUGUUUUAAUUAAAAACGGCACUAAAAUUUAUUCCCUAAGCCGAAACGACGCCGUAUCUGUAAAUACAAUAAAUAUUUGUGGCAAUUUUUAUCAAAACGCCGGUAAUGUCACUAAAAUUUCAAGUACAGAAAGAAACGGCGCCAUUUUAUAAAAAUAUAAGGCAACAUUCUGGCGUUUUCCCAAAAAUGCCACAACUAAUAUAUUAUCGAACCAGCGGCGUUUCCAGAAAAUUUUAUACAUCCUUGCGGCGUUUUUAACAAAACGCCACUAAAAUAUUCCAUCCUUCAACUGAAACGGCGCCGUUUUGGUAAAGUUUAAAU
RNAcentral lists this long non-coding RNA (345 nucleotides) under Gossypium barbadense (sea-island cotton). RNAcentral describes it as "long non-coding RNA (GBAR_LNC022214)". The record is from RNAcentral. Lineage: Eukaryota; Viridiplantae; Streptophyta; Magnoliopsida; Malvales; Malvaceae.